GUGAACCAUUAGCGAGCUGACUCGAUCCUCCACUUCUGUUCUCUUCUUCAUCUUAUUUCCUCCUCAUUCGUUCGCUGAGUUAAGGUGUUACAUGAAGAUCAUGACAUCCCAAUCACAUAGCUCCCCAGGAUCUUGUAGUCAUGUUGAUUAUGAAAGGUUAUGCAAAUGUGGUCUGUUAGCUUCGUUUAGGACAUCCUGGACAGAAUUUAACUAUGGACGUCGUUUCUAUAAUUGUCCUGCAAUGAAGUGUGACUAUUUUGUCUGGGUUGAUCCUCCUCGACGCAUCCAACAACGAACUAGUAGACAACCAAGGAAUCAAGCGAGUACAUGUUUUGUUAAUCCAGUAGCUGAAGAAGAAGAGAAUAGUGGCCAUGAGAAUGAAGAUGCCAAAAUUAAAAAACUGGUGGAUGGAAUGAAGUCCAGGGACCAAAUGUUGUUGACCGUAGUUUUUGGAAUUCUUGUAGUGGUCCUAAUUACGUUAUUGCUUGUUAUUUUGAAGUUGUAAUUGUUGUGUUUAUUGUCUUCGAAUUCUUGUAUUAGACUAAGUGUGGAUUAUGCUAAAUUUUAGCAUUUUGGUGCUUAAGUACAUUUUGGUGGUUAUAAGUUAAGUACAUUUUUGUGGUUAUAAGUACAUUGCUAAAGUUAUAUGUUUA
Lotus japonicus is the source of this 653-nucleotide RNA transcript. RefSeq lists it as uncharacterized. The transcript has 3 exons. The record is from RefSeq and is a predicted model, not a curated record. NCBI's taxonomy places the organism in Eukaryota, Viridiplantae, Streptophyta, Magnoliopsida, Fabales, Fabaceae.